This is a non-coding RNA of Schizothecium vesticola, 96 nucleotides long. Lineage: Eukaryota; Fungi; Ascomycota; Sordariomycetes; Sordariales; Schizotheciaceae. The record is from the annotation of a GenBank genome assembly.
GGGCUAUUGGUCUAGGGGUAUGAUUUUCGCUUCGCAUCGCUCAUCUGAGUCAGAUACGCUUGUGAAAGGUCACCGGUUCAAAUCCGGUAUAGUCCA